GAUGAACGCUGGCGGCGUGCCUAAUACAUGCAAGUCGAGCGAACGGACGAGAAGCUUGCUUCUCUGAUGUUAGCGGCGGAAGGGUGAGUAAAACGUGGAUAACCUACCUAUAAGACUGGGAUAAAUUCGGGAAACCGUAGCUAAUACCGGAUAAUAUUUUGAACCGCAUGGUUCAAAAGUGAAAGACGGUCUUGCUGUCACUUAUAGAUGGAUCCGCGCUGCAUUAGCUAGUUGGUAAGGUAACGGCUUACCAAGGCAACGAUGCAUAGCCGGCCUGAGAGGGUGAUCGGCCACACUGGAACUGAGACACGGUCCAGACUCCUACGGGAGGCAGCAGUAGGGAAUCUUCCGCAAUGGGCGAAAGCCUGACGGAGCAACGCCGCGUGAGUGAUGAAGGUCUUCGGAUCGUAAAACUCUGUUAUUAGGGAAGAACAUAUGUGUAAGUAACUGUGCACAUCUUGACGGUACCUAAUCAGAAAGCCACGGCUAACUACGUG
This 497-nucleotide ribosomal RNA is filed under the name uncultured bacterium. RNAcentral's name for it is "partial 16S ribosomal RNA". It matches the Rfam family "Bacterial small subunit ribosomal RNA", at positions 28 to 507 of the family's 1533-position model. The record is from RNAcentral.